UAUUGGUUACCUUUCCCUCAAUACAAACCAGUGGGAAACCUUGUAAUGUCCUUUAUAUCAAUGCUUCUUGCCCCGUUUUACAUGUAAAAUACAUAAAACAAGGACAGAUACGCAAAUGCCUAGACAAAGCCUGGUUGGAGUUUGGAGAAUUUCUCAUUAUGUAUUAUAUAGUUUUAAAAUUCAAAAAGAGUAACUCCUGUACCAUUGAAACUAUUGAGAUUCUUAACAUGAAGAGUAUAUACUUUAGCAUUUCAAAUAAAUAGGGAAAUAUCUUUAACAAGAUAUUUAUGACCUUUAAUAAACUUGAGAAUUUUAAGUCAGUUGUUUCAUCUACCCCCAAUGACUUUGUCCAGAGUACUGUGUACUACAAAGAGGAUAUAAAGUAUGACAUAAAAACACCUGUUGAAUUAUUUUGGUAAAAUUAAAAAGUACCUGUUAGUUUUACAUUGGGAACUUUUGACAUGACUCAUAGUAAUUUUAUGAUUAAAAACUUAAUAAUUUAAAAUAUUAUCCAAAUAAAAACACACGGCAUAUUAGCAAAGUAAAGUACUCCUUAGCUAGGUGUGCUGAUGCAUAUAAAGUUCUACAGUCUCUGUAAACGUCAGUCAAUGUUGUUUCUCCCUGCAAACGAUGGGUAAUAUGCAGUUGAUAUGAUUCGUGUUGAUGUUAACCAUGAAUUGCGAUUCAUACCCAGAGCACAUAUACAAAUAUCUGACUUUCUUCCUUGAAGGUGUUAGAAAUGUUCUAGGCAGUGCAUACAUUUUCUGUGACUCAUGUGUCCAUGUCAAGAUUGUGAUAUGUUAUUUCUUUAUAUGCUCAGCAUCACACAAAGCUUGUUAUCAUGAAGUAACUGGUAGGCUAUUGUUCCAGUUAAUACCAAAAGGAAAGAGAUGCAAGAGCUGAUUUGACUGUGUGUGUGUGUUUGUGUGUAUUAUCAGAGUGGAAGAUUCCAUCAAGUACAACAAUGAAUAAUUCAUGAACUGUAGUGUCCUAUUGCAACUGUAGUGUCCUAUUGCAAAGAGUUUUGUGUAUUUAAUGUAAAUACAAAAUAUGUAAUAUUUUAUAAGUUGUAUUAAUCAGUUAAUAAUUUAGGCUAUGCAGUCAUAGCAAACAACUCUAAAAUCUCAGUUACUGUAAUGAAUACAGAUUUAUUUCUUGCUAAUGCUGUGUGCCCAUGCUUGUCAGUAAAAGACUUUAGUUUACAACUUCCUCACUCAGGGACCCAGGAUCAUAAAGCCCCUGUCAUCUCCAGCAUCCUCAUCAUUCAUUCAUCAAGCACAGUGGAACGUGGUGAAUCACCCACAAGUUCUCAAAAGCCAGAAAAAAAAAAGUAGAGUCUAAACUUAAAAUUGAUGGUACCCGUUUUCUGUCAGUGGAGGUUGUGUUGAAUCAAGGAAUGAUGAUAAAGCUCUGGUUUAUUUUGAGAAAAUGCAGGAGAUAACCUUUUUGACAGCAACACCAGCCAAGAAAGGUGCCAGGACCUGCAGUACAGCUGUGUUUUCUGAACAGAUUUGAUUGUGUCAACAUGAUACUGAAAACUGAAUAGCUAUAUGUGUAUCUUUGUCACCUGCACCAACAUGAAUAAAAGUAACAUAUGUGCUAUCAUAUAUUAUUGUAAAAAGUAACCCAGAUAAACAUAUAAAUAAUACUGUAUGACUAUUUUACAUUGACAAGCAUAAUCCAAAAAGUUAGAAUAUAUCCAAUCCAUGUUUUUAGUGCCAGUAAGUUUCCCUGAAGCACUGAUGUUGCUGUCCCAUUCGUUUUGAUAUAUUGUAUUUUCAUUUUAAUUCAGUUCAAGUAUUAUUUGAAAAAAAAUUUCUCCUGAGAUUUCCUCUUUGACUCUUAGGGUUAUUUAGAAGGAUAGCAUUUAGUUUCCAAAUGUUGGGGCAUUUUUCUGUCAUCUUUCUCUGUUUUUGGUCAGAGAACCUCAUUCCCUGUGUUUUCUUUCUCCAUUUUGGUCAGAGAACACUGUUUUCAGUUUGGGGUUUUUUUUGGAUUUUUUUGGUUAUUAUUAUUAUUUUUUUAAUUUGUUGAGGUUUAUGUUAUGGCACAAAAUGUUGUCUGUCUUGGUGUAUGUUCCAUGGGCACUUGCACAGAUUUCGUAUUUAGCUCUUUUGGAGUAGGGUGAUCUAUAAAUGCUCAUUAGGUUCUGUUGGUUGAUGAUGCUGAUAAAUUCUUGUAUGUCUUUACUAAGUUUCUAUCUAGUUUUAUUGACUGUUGAAAUCAUUUAUGAAGUUUACAAGUAUAAUUGUGGAUUUGUCUAUUUUCCUUUCUCUUCUGUCAGUUUGACUUGAUACAUUUUGCCAUUCUAUUAUUUGGUAUAUGUAGAUAUUUAGGAUUGCUAUGUCUUCUUGGUGUAUUGAUUAUUUUAUCAUUGCAUAAUAUUCCUCUAUCUGGUAAUUUUACUUCCUCAAAGUCCACUGUAUGGAAUAUUCCUUUUUUCUUUGAUCAAUGUUUGCAUGAUAUUUCUUUUUCUGUUCUUCUGCUUUCAACUUGCCUAUAUUGUUAUAUUUUAUCUGAAUUCCUUGUUCUUAAAAUAUAGGCAGGUUACAUAUUUUAAUCCACUCUGCAAAUAUCUUUUAAUUUGCAUAUUUACACCAUUUACAUUUACUGUAGUUAUUGGUAUAUUAAGGCUAUGUAUGUCUGCCAUUUUAUUUUGGGCUUUUUUCCCCCUGUUUUUAUUUUAGUUUUUCCGGGUUUGUUUGUUUGUUUGUUUUCAUUGCCUUCCUGUAGGUUACUUGAGCAUAUAGAGAUUUCCAUUUUUAUUUAUAUGUAAUGUUUUUAAGAGUAUCUAUUCAUAUAGAUUUUUUAGUGGUUGCUCUAAGUAUUACAUCAUAUACAAAUGAUUUAUCACUGCCUACCAUUGUCAUUUUAUCAAUUACAAUGAAGCAUAGAACCUUUACCUUUCAUUAUGUAACUUUAUCCACUUCUACUUAGAGUAUAGUUGUCUUAAACAUUUCCUCUACAUGCAUCAGAAAAUGUUAUCAUUUUUGUUUCUACUGUCAAAUAUAAGUCAGAAAGUUCAAGAGGAGCAAGAAAAUCCAUUGUGUUUAUUGAUAUUUUCACUUACCAUGUUCUUCCUUCUUUAUUGAUAUUCCACCAUUCUUUUAUUGUUAUCUUUUUGUUUUGAGAACUUCUUCUAGUCAUUCUUUAGAGCAGACAGGUCUUCUUGUGACAAUAUCUUUGUUUUCCUUCAUCUAAGAAUGUCUUGAUUUCCCCUUCAUUCCUGAAAGAUCUUUUUAUCUGGACAUAGGAUUCCGGGUUGGUAGUUCUUUAAUUUCAGCACCUUAAAAUGCUAUGCCACAUCCUUAUGGGCCUCCAUGUUUUCUGAUGAGAAAUCUUCUAUUGAUUUUUUCCCUAUAGGUAAAGUGUCAUUUCACUCUAGCUCUUUUCAUGAUUUUUGUUUUUUUAUUUUUAGUUUUCAUAAGUUAGUGCUGUGUCUUGAUAUUCUUUAGGUUUUCUGUUUCUCAUUCAGGUUCAUGAAUCUAUAGAUUUAUGCCUUUCGUCAAAAUUUGAGAAAUAUUCAACCAUUAUUUCUUUGAGUAAUUUUUGAUCCCUGUCCAUUUUCUCUUCUUCCAGGUCAGGGAUCGAAUGUGCAUUUUCAUGAAUACUAGUUGGGUUUAUUACCACUGAGCCACAACAGGAACUUCACUUUAUGGGUUUUUUGUUUUGUUUUGUUUUGUUUUUUUAAAGUAUAGUUGAUUUACCAUGUUGUGAUAACUGAUCUCCCUUUAGUUGUAAUUAAGUGGGAGAUCCACACAAUUGGGUUUUGCUCUCAAAUUUUCCUUUUUUUUUUUUAAGACAUCUCACAGCCAUAUACAAAUAGCUAGUCAUACAGAUUAAUAAAUAGUGAUAUAAACAUAUUUAAAGAUAGUAGGCAAGUUUGCAUAUGUCAACCUCAUGGAUGUCCCCAAAUCCCAAGAUAACCUUGUCUCAGAAAAUACAAGUGAAGUUGGUUUGAACUUGUACCAGCUCCAACUUGAGCAUGCUUCCUGUUAUUUGGGAAGAUUUUCAUGGAGCCUCCCUGAGUCUCUUUUCUGAGUUUUUGCACCUUUUGAAUGCCUCAUCACCACUGUGGGUUUUGUUUCCUGAGCCUAAUGCCAGCUUGCCCAAGAGGUCACCCUGCCAUCUACCACCCUGAGCCUUUUCUUCCUCAAAGUACCACUGGUCCAGGCUGCGUGUUUGUCAGAUUUUGCUGUAGGAUCUGAGCAGUGGAGUUGAGUUAUGGCACGGAAAUAUUAGAUACCCCCAGUAUUCCACCUUCCACUGCCAAGGUGCAUAUUAUUGUGAGUUCAGCCUAUUAUACUAAUCACCAUGUCCAUGACCCCAGAAAACACUGGUUGAGAUGGAUGCAAACCCAGAAAAUAAACAGAAAGCUUAACCACAAAUAUAAUGUGAAAUUUGCCUAGAAUUAUUGCAAAAUUUAAAAGAUUAUGUGGUCAAAACAUGUGUCAGUCUUUACAAAGAGAUAGACUGAGAGGAACAUAGAGCAUAUCUCAGAUGCCAAAGUAGUAGUUUGCUGCUAACAUCAUUUUCUUCAGCAGUACCUGAAAUGCUGCUCGGGCUCUGCCAGGUGCUGAGCUGACAACUGAAUGAUUUGCUCUAAGUUCUCAUUAGAGACACAAUCAGGCUCUUGCAAAGUGAUGUUCUGCUGCUUAGGUAUCUUACAGAGGGAUUGGAGCAAGGUGAAGGUGUCCAUUUAUUAAUGUCUGUGUGAAAGCUGGACCACUCAGAGCAGGAGGAGAAGUAUCACUCCCUUGUCCUCAGGGAGCUAACAGUAUACUUGAGAGAUGCAA
This 4796-nucleotide long non-coding RNA is filed under the name Sus scrofa (pig). RNAcentral's name for it is "lncRNA (ENSSSCG00065037394.1)". Lineage: Eukaryota; Metazoa; Chordata; Mammalia; Artiodactyla; Suidae. The record is from RNAcentral.